ACCGUGUACAACUCACAAAUAAUAAUAAUAAUAUAAUUUAUUUAUAAUAGCCUUAUAUAAUAUAUAUAUAAAAUAGCCUUCUUUAUAUAAAUGCAGAAUAACAUUAAUAAUUCAUAGAAAUAAAUACACAAUUAAUUAAUUAAUAUAACUAAUAUAAAUUUAAUAUAAUAAAUUGUUUUUGUUUAUUAUCCACAUCCCAUUCAAUUUGCAUAGCAGCAGUCACAGUAAAUUUGCAUUGAUGAAUAAACAAAAUCUACUUAUGUCAAGGCUAAUUAAUCUUGAGCAUAUUGAUUUAAAAAUAUCAUAUAUCCAUACUUUGUUAGAUAGCUACUUGUUCAAAAAGGUAGCUUUAGUUUAACAUGUAAAAUAUGUGGAUCCUAUAGAAACACAAUCGCGGAGCACCAUGGUGAUUUAGAACGCCAACUGAAUUUAUGAGAAAUCUACAGACGCAAAUAGACUAAAGGUGUAGUAAAAUAAAGACCUAUAUGUGUA
Long non-coding RNA from Carassius carassius (crucian carp), 492 nucleotides. RefSeq lists it as uncharacterized. NCBI's taxonomy places the organism in Eukaryota, Metazoa, Chordata, Actinopteri, Cypriniformes, Cyprinidae. The record is from RefSeq and is a predicted model, not a curated record. The transcript is spliced from 2 exons.